This 372-nucleotide ribosomal RNA is filed under the name uncultured Glomeromycotina. Its description in RNAcentral is "LSU rRNA". The record is from RNAcentral. Lineage: Eukaryota; Fungi; Glomeromycota.
UUGAAAGGGAAACGAUUGAAGUCAGUCGUACCUAUGGGUAAUCAGCCUUUUGGGUGUGAUUUUGUGGAGCGUGAGGAGUUAAACGCCUUCAUGCCUGCAUAUUCGUGCACUUUGGGUGUACUUGCCCGUGUGUAAGUUAACAUCAAUUUUGGUGGUCAUAAAAUGGCUGGAGGAAUGUAGCUUCGAUCUUGUAUUGAAGUGUUAUAGCCUUCGGUAGAUGUGACGAUCGGGAUUGAGGAUUGCAACGGAUACCCUUCGGGGCUACCUGUCUGAUCUCUGAUUGUUGCUCUGGUACUGAAAGCUUGCUUACGGUUAUCAAAGUCGAUGGUCAAUAGGUUAGAACGGGUUAAAUUCGUUAAGGAUGUUGACGUA